Molecule: long non-coding RNA, 818 nt
Organism: Sorghum bicolor (sorghum)
Lineage: Eukaryota; Viridiplantae; Streptophyta; Magnoliopsida; Poales; Poaceae
Exons: 2
Source: RefSeq, a predicted model, not a curated record
CCAGACGUGACAUUGUUCCAACUCAUCAGCGUCCUUUCUCCAUUCUGCAGGUCUUGGUGAUAUGGCCUGGACCUUUCUUCUACACAUGGUGGUGAAUUGAUAUAAGCCUGGUUUCUUGGAAGCCUUCUCAUAUGCAUGUGCUCCUGAUAUCCACGGCUCACGAAUUAUCUCGUGAUAACCAUACCCCUUAGGAAUUUAGGUUGGUUGUCUUUUAUGAAAUAAUAUCUUGGCUAGGCAUUAAACUAUUCAAGACUUGAAGAGGUAUAUCAAUGUCUUAAAUAUAUUCAAGCCGCCUGAGGGAUAUAUGGGAUUAGAUAGGUAUAUGUUGUCUACGGUUUUAUUAUGGGCUGCAAUUACAGAUUGAAUAGAUUAGGUGCCACUAUUAUUUGCAUCGAGGCAGCGUGCCGUUCACUUAUGGACACAUGUUACAUGAUUUCUAAUUACAAUCCAUGUGUGCCUUCAUGAUGAUUAUAUUUUGUAUUUACAGUAUGUUGAUGUUAUUGGCUAGACUCUAAUUUCUAUGAUUUUGCUGCUUAGGAUUCUUGGACAAAAGGAGCAAGCAGGUUGAUCACCAAAUAUGCAAGGGGGUGGCAUACAUUAUGAAAGCCCCCAAUAGUCCCCCAGUAUUAAUUACAAGAUCGGGAUGAUCAUAUUGUACUAACUUGAAUAGCUACUAUAUGCCAACUUUGAUUAAUGUGUUGUCUGAUGCAAAAAUCUUCAAAGAUGUAUGAUGAAGUUAAUGUAAUUUGACUUUAAUUUGUUUUAGACUGUGCAAGAAGUCUUACUGUUUCAUGUAAAAAGAAAAUUUUAUUUGGUUU